AUUGAACGCUAGCGGGAUGCUUUACACAUGCAAGUCGAACGAGUGGCGGACGGGUGAGUAAUAUAUCGGAACGUGCCCAGUAGCGGGGGAUAACUACUCGAAAGAGUGGCUAAUACCGCAUACUAUGGGAGCGGCCGUUAUCGGAUUAGCUAGUUGGUGGGGUAAAGGCUCACCAAGGCAACGAUGCGUAGCUGGUUUGAGAGGACGACCAGCCACACUGGGACUGAGACACGGCCCAGACUCCUACGGGAGGCAGCAGUGGGGAAUGUUCGACAAUGGACGAAACCCUGACCCAGCCAUCCCGCGUGUAUGAGAAGGCUUUCGGGUUGUAAAGUACUUUUGGCAGAGAAGCGGUAUCUGCCGAAUAAGCCCCGGCUAACUACGUGCCAGCCGCCGCGGUAAUUC
RNAcentral lists this ribosomal RNA (405 nucleotides) under uncultured bacterium. RNAcentral describes it as "partial 16S ribosomal RNA". It matches the Rfam family "Bacterial small subunit ribosomal RNA", at positions 30 to 526 of the family's 1533-position model. The record is from RNAcentral.